Alnus glutinosa is the source of this 593-nucleotide long non-coding RNA. RefSeq lists it as uncharacterized. Lineage: Eukaryota; Viridiplantae; Streptophyta; Magnoliopsida; Fagales; Betulaceae. The record is from RefSeq and is a predicted model, not a curated record. The transcript is spliced from 3 exons.
UCCCUUUCAUGGACAGCAGCCCUCUCUCCCUUUUCUUUUCUUUUCUUCCCCUUUUCUCUCCUUCUUCCCCUCUCUUCUUCACGCACAAUCUCUCUCUCUCUCUCCCCUCUCUUCCAUUUUCUUCUCUUCACCUAGCACACACACGACGCAGAGAGAGAUUCCAAGAGAGAAAUACUAAGAUUGUGAGUGGUUGUCCGUGAGGAGAGACCCUACCGUUGGUGAAGAAAAUGGUGAUCUUUGGCCAUGUACAUCAAGAAGGGUCGUGUCAUAAUUGGAGACUUCAAUGGGUUUUCCAAUGUUGAGUUCGAGUCGUAUUUCCAAUGCAGCCAGAUGAUGUCUCUUUGGUUGCAGGUACUCGGGUCGUAGUUGAUGGGGUCAUAGACGUGCAUUUGGGAUAUUAUGACCGGAGCUCACCGCGAUGGUCGUAAUUAUGGGAUCAUGGGCGUCCUUAGUUUUAUAGGUUUUGUAUGGCUUGUGACGCAUGUGUCACUCGUUAUUGUAUAAGCCAUUUCUAUUAUGUUUUUAUAUUGAGGAAAGACUUAAACACAUAGAUGUUAAAUGGCUCUUGUUAUUAAUUUAUGAUAGUUGUGUAA